RNAcentral lists this ribosomal RNA (774 nucleotides) under uncultured Neocallimastigales. Its description in RNAcentral is "partial large subunit ribosomal RNA". It matches the Rfam family "Eukaryotic large subunit ribosomal RNA", at positions 22 to 635 of the family's 3401-position model. The record is from RNAcentral. Lineage: Eukaryota; Fungi; Neocallimastigomycota; Neocallimastigomycetes; Neocallimastigales.
UACACGCUGUGACUAGCAUAUCAAUAAGCGGAGGAAAAGAAACUAACAAGGAUUCCCCUAGUAACGGCGAGUGAAGCGGGAAGAGCUCAAAUUUGAAAUCUUAAAGGGUUUCCCUUUACGAAUUGUAGUUUAAAGAAGUGUUUUCUGUUGAGGUUUUGGUAAAAGUUCUUUGGAAUAGGACAUCAUAGAGGGUGAGAAUCCCGUAUUUGACCUUUACUUUCAACUUUGUGAUACACUUUCAAAGAGUCGGAUUGUUUGGGAAUGCAGUCCAAAAUGGGUGGUAAAUUUCAUCUAAAGCUAAAUAUUGGCGAGAGACCGAUAGCGAACAAGUACCGUGAGGGAAAGAUGAAAAGAACUUUGAAAAGAGAGUUAAACAGUACGUGAAAUUGUCAAAAGGGAAGCGUUUGACACCAGUGUUGUUUUUCUGAAAAUCAAUUAAAGAACUGUUUAUGCUAAGUUGUUUAGACUUUAUCAGCUAACUGUUUAGUUUUGAGCUUUUCUUUAAUGCACUUUUCAGUUAACAAGUCAACAUCAAUUUCUUUUGCUGUAAAAAAGCUUGAGGAAGGUGGCUUGAGAUUCGUCUUAAGUGUUUAUAGCCUCUUGCCUAUGCAGUCGGAGAGAUUGAGGUCUGCAGCGUAGAUCCUUCGGGGCUAAAUGCACUUUGUGCUAAGUUAUAGCAUUUUAUAGACAACUUGUUGACUAUGAUUUGUCUUGUAGCUUACUCGCUUAUGUUAUUUUACCUACGCUUAGGAUGUUGAAGAUGUAGCACAUCAU